Bos taurus (domestic cattle) is the source of this 2660-nucleotide long non-coding RNA. Lineage: Eukaryota; Metazoa; Chordata; Mammalia; Artiodactyla; Bovidae. The record is from Ensembl.
GGGACAUGACACGCUGCUUCUGCUCUGAAGACAGAUGGGGCACUUGGGAAAGAAUGUGGGUGGCCUCUAGGGCUGAGUGUGGCCCAACCCAUGGCCAGAAAGGACACAGGACAUCAGACCUACAGCCUCCGGGAGGCAGAUUCUCCCACAGAUGAGAGCCCCGCUGGGGGACACCUGGCUUUUUGCCUGUAAAACCUGCACAGAGAACCCAGUCAAGCCUGGAUUCAGAUUUCUGGCCCACGGAGCUGUUGGUGGUCAGUGGGUGUUAUUGUAAGCUGCUAAGUGUGUGGUGACUUGCUAUGCAGCAGGAGACAGGAACCGGCCUCUGCUCUGGAUGAGGUUGGGGAGGCUGCUGAGAGAGGGGUCGGGUGAUUCUGUCUCUUCUGCCAGAACAUUUCCAUCCUGUGUUCAUCCACGCCAUCUACCAGAGCUCCUGGUCCCUGCCCAUGACAUAAAGACACCACAAUGAGCUGGAUGUGGGGGCCACCGGCUCCAGAGGCUAAGGGAGAGUGGACCUGUGCCGCUCUGUGCUCAACCAGUUCACCGAAGAGCCGGCAACCAGGGUUUUUUUCCCCUCUGUGUAGUUGCCUGCUGCUGUUGUCACAAAUUACCGCAAACUCGAUGACUUGAAACAACGCAGAUUUACCAUCUGAGGUCAGAACUCUAGGAUGACUGGCCGACAUAUUCCUUCUGAAGGCUCUAGAAUCGAAUCCACCCUCUGGCUUUUCCAGCCUCUGGAGGCACCACGUCCCCUGGCUCGUGCCUGCCCACCCCCCCAUCUUCAUCUUCAAGGCUGGGAGCCCAGCAUCUUCUCUGUGACCUCCUCCCUCCUGCAAGGACACUGGGACUGCACAUAGGCCCCCUGGAUGCGCCGGGAUCAUCUCCUCCUCUCAGCAUCCUGCCCUUCAUCACAGCUGCAAAGUGUCUUUUGCCAAGUAAGGUAAACACUCACAGCUUCCGAGGAUUAGGACAUGGAGGUGAUGGGGGCCCUUGUUCCAUUUACCACACUCUCACCCUGAUUUCUAAUCUGGUGGUUUCCACACUUUCAAACAUAUUACAAUUUUUUUUUUUUUUUAAGGCAUGAUCCAACAUAUGUAAUUAACAGUCUGGGCUCUGCAGCCAAGCUGCCUGGAUCCAAGCCCUGGCCCCACCUCCAGUCUGUGCUUCCUUGUCCAGACGCCUGACUCUCCACACCUCUACCUCCUCUCGGCACCGAGGGGGUGGUCAUUUCCUGUGGACGCACCCACAGCCAGACAGACCCUCAGUCACACCUCAGCCGCCGCUCUGUUUAAGGGGAACACCUCGUGGCCUUCCCCUCCAGCACCAGCCUUCCCACACAGCCAGCACAGCGACCAUCUGCAGAUACAAGUCUGCGGGCCCAGUUGCCUGAGAUCGGGAUUCAUUCAGAAAUAUGAAAAAUGUGCUCUCCGGUUGGUUCUCAAGCAUUUUCCCUCCCUUUCUGCCCUUGUCCGCGAGGUGGACAGCAGCUGGGCUGUGGGUCAAAGAAACUGCCCUGUGAGGGCUGCUUCUCAGGGAAUCCGGGACCCCAGCUGUCCUCUGGGUUGGGAAAGCAAACGGUCGGGCUUCCCAGGAACUGGUGCAUCGUCAGAAGAAAACCAUCCCAUAACCGGUUUGUGUUUCCUUUGCCUCUGCGGCCCCAGCGUCCUCUGACCUUGGCAGCACCAGGAUUAGAAGAGGGGGCCCCACCUCCCUUCUCAGCUCCCUCCCUCCUGACCAAUUCCUCUUUCUCCAUUAACGUCUGCGGGUGAUGAAACGAGACCCCUCAGAGAAGUGCAUGAUGGAAGUAAGUCUCCUCCAGCCCAGCUCUUCAGGGCACCAGACCCACCUUCACAGAGCUAAGCAGGGUUGUCUGCUUCUGUGUCCAUUUUCAGAAAGAAUCUCUAUCCACCUCCGUGUGCUCAGGCAUAGAUAUGUGUGUGUAGCCCAUGUUCACAUGUGCCCAUGUGUGUGUGCAUGUUUGCAGGACAUCAUACAUUUCUCACAGAAGCAGGACCAUCCAUCUUGCUCUUUUUCAUUCGUUCUUUUUCAUUUAUCCUGGAGACCGUUGCAUGUCGGCUCAGACCACCCAGCCCUUCUUGUGGUCUGUCUGCUCAUUGUCAGUAUGUGGGUGCCGAGCUGUAGGUACCAGCCUCCCUCCUGGGAGAUGUCAGACCUGUGUAGUAAACACAGCUUCAUGGAAAGGGGCUUCUUGCACGCCUGUUCAGCACCAGGGGGGCCAGAGAGACUGGGAUCCAGUCCUCAGACCACAGUCCUUGUGUCCUGCCAGAGGUCACCCAGCAAGAUGGAGAUAUGAAGUAGGAACGCCCUUGUUGUAGUUCGGUCACUAAGUUAUGUCCGACUCUUUGCUACCUCAUGGACUGCAACACUCCAGGCUCCAGCAAUCUCCCAGAGUUUGCUCACGUUCAUGUCCAUUGAGUUGGUUCUUGUCACCCUGAAACAACCCUCUGCACCCUCUUCAGUCUCCACGACACCAGAAGGGACUUCAACCCCCUCCAGUCCACCCACCUGGCCACCCACCCCCAGCACAACAUAGCCAGCUCAGGUACCCACAUCUCAGAUUCCCAGAGAUGGACCCCCAGGUGUGUUUUUCAAAGCAGAAAUGGCUGCAGAGUCAGGAGAGGCCACUCUCGCCACUGGAC